GCGCCCGUAGCUCAGUGGAUAGAGCGCUUGCCUCCGGAGCAAGAGGUCGCUGGUUCGAAUCCAGCCGGGCGCG
Molecule: transfer RNA, 73 nt
Filed under: Baekduia sp.
Lineage: Bacteria; Bacillati; Actinomycetota; Thermoleophilia; Solirubrobacterales; Baekduiaceae
Also listed under: 6 other names
Description: tRNA-Arg
Rfam family: tRNA
About the family: Transfer RNA (tRNA) molecules are approximately 80 nucleotides in length. Their secondary structure includes four short double-helical elements and three loops (D, anti-codon, and T loops). Further hydrogen bonds mediate the characteristic L-shaped molecular structure. tRNAs have two regions of fundamental functional importance: the anti-codon, which is responsible for specific mRNA codon recognition, and the 3' end, to which the tRNAs corresponding amino acid is attached (by aminoacyl-tRNA synthetases). tRNAs cope with the degeneracy of the genetic code in two manners: having more than one tRNA (with a specific anti-codon) for a particular amino acid; and 'wobble' base-pairing, i.e. permitting non-standard base-pairing at the 3rd anti-codon position.
Source: RNAcentral